This 357-nucleotide ribosomal RNA is filed under the name uncultured eukaryote. RNAcentral describes it as "SSU rRNA". It matches the Rfam family "Eukaryotic small subunit ribosomal RNA", at positions 587 to 942 of the family's 1831-position model. The record is from RNAcentral.
AGCUCCAAUAGCGUAUAUUAAAGUUGUUGCAGUUAAAAAGCUCGUAGUUGGAUUUCUGGGCUGAGCGACCGGUCCGCCGCUGUGCGGUGUGUACUCGGGUGCGACUCGGCUCAUCCUUGCAGGGAACAUUUCUCGGUCUUAACUGGUCGAGGGUGGGAAUUGCAUCAUUUACUGUAGAAAAAAUUAGAGUGUUUAAAGCAGGCUUAUGCUGUGAAUACAUUAGCAUGGAAUAAUAAGAUAGGACCUCGGGCUAUCUUGUUGGUUGGAAGUUCAAGGUAAUGAUUAAUAGGGAUAGUUGGGGGGUAUUCAUAUUUAAUUGUCAGAGGUGAAAUUCUUGGAUUUAUGAAAGAUGAACUU